This 405-nucleotide ribosomal RNA is filed under the name uncultured bacterium. RNAcentral describes it as "partial 16S ribosomal RNA". It matches the Rfam family "Bacterial small subunit ribosomal RNA", at positions 28 to 526 of the family's 1533-position model. The record is from RNAcentral.
GAUGAACGCUGGCGGCGUGCCUAAUACAUGCAAGUCGAGCGAAGCGGGGACGGGUGAGUAACACGUGGAUAACCUCCUAUAAGACUGGGCUAAUUUCGGGAAACCGGAGCUAACCCGGAUACUUCCAGAUGGAUCCUCGCUGCAUUAGCUAGUUGGUAAGGUAACGGCCUACCAAGGCAACGAUGCAUAGCCGACCUGAGAGGGUGAUCGGCCACACUGGAACUGAGACACGGGCCAGACUCCUACGGGAGGCAGCAGUAGGGAAUCUUCCGCAAUGGGAGAAAGCCUGACGGAGCAACGCCGCGUGAGUGAUGAAGGUCUUCGGGUCGGAAAGCUCUUUUAUUAGGGAAGCGGUACCUAAUCAGAAAGCCACGGCUAACUACGUGCCAGCAGCCGCGGUAAUUC